This 467-nucleotide ribosomal RNA is filed under the name uncultured bacterium. RNAcentral describes it as "partial 16S ribosomal RNA". It matches the Rfam family "Bacterial small subunit ribosomal RNA", at positions 28 to 507 of the family's 1533-position model. The record is from RNAcentral.
GACGAACGCUGGCGGCGUGCUUAACACAUGCAAGUCGAACGGAAAGGCCCUGCUUUUGUGGGGUGCUCGAGUGGCGAACGGGUGAGUAACACGUGAGUAACCUGCCCUUGACUUUGGGAUAACUUCAGGAAACUGGGGCUAAUACCGGAUAGGAGCUCCUGCUGCAUGGUGGGGGUUGGAAAGUUUCGGCGGUUGGGGAUGGACUCGCGGCUUAUCAGCUUGUUGGUGGGGUAGUGGCUUACCAAGGCUUUGACGGGUAGCCGGCCUGAGAGGGUGCCCGGCCCCAUUGGACUGAGAUACGGCCCAGACUCCUACGGGAGGCAGCAGUGGGGAAUAUUGCACAAUGGGCGGAAGCCUGAUGCAGCAACGCCGCGUGCGGGAUGACGGCCUUCGGGUUGUAAACCGCUUUCGCCUGUGACGAAGCGUGAGUGACGGUAAUGGGUAAAGAAGCACCGGCUAACUACGUG